This 2343-nucleotide long non-coding RNA is filed under the name Lathyrus oleraceus (garden pea). RNAcentral's name for it is "Pisum sativum (pea) long non-coding RNA (PSAT_LNC034525)". The record is from RNAcentral. Lineage: Eukaryota; Viridiplantae; Streptophyta; Magnoliopsida; Fabales; Fabaceae.
UUUGGAGGGAAGGACGAGAUUCAAUUCAUUUCAUGGUCAUUCAAGUUCAAUUCAAAGUUCAAAAAAAUGGAGGGAAAAACAUUUGUAUUGCUUGGAAUACAAGUUACAACCAUACAAGGUCAAUUCAUGGUCAAAACACAAAGAAUACAUCACAAAAAAGUCAAAAGUGAAAACUAUACAAGAAACCCCUAAUUUGGACCUAGGUUGACUUUUGGUCAAACAGUUGACCAAAGUCAAACUGACCAUCCCCUAGCCUACUUUGAUCUUCAUUACCUUGGAUUCUCCAUUUGCAGCAUUAAGUCUUUCAUGCCAUUCUAAAACCUCUUCAUGUCCAUGAUACCUUGCCAAACCUCGAUCAUGCCAUGUAAAAACCUUGAUAAUGCCAACCAAGCUUCAUGCACAAGCUUUCACAUAAAGUCAUAUAACCAGCCCAGUAAGAAAAGACCUCAACCUGUUAGUUGCAUAUACACAUAAUAAAGCCUAACAAUGGCAACAUCAUAAACACAAUGCAUAUUACAAUCCUUCAAGCCAGGGCAUAACCAUUAGGCACAAUUAACUUUUUCUAACUAGUAGCAUGAUAUAAAUCUACACGCACUUGACACCUAUAAUAAACCUUUUUCAAUCCUAACUACCUAAGCUAUUAGUCAUAUUGUAUUAAAGCUAAAUGAUCAUACCAACUAACAUAGCCCUGAUCAUACCUCCUUUUUCAUCUUUAACAAUCCAUUUUAACAUGUUUUGGUGUUAGUUUUGUUAGCACUCAACCCAUUCCAAAUUGGCAGUCCAAAUGAUCAUAACUUAACUAACAUAAGAAAACAGCCUGUCAAUGUUAUCUCCUAACCAACAUCUUUAGCACUAACCGAUCCACCAAAUUAAACAAUUCACCAAUUAUUAACAAUUAACAACGAUAACUAACAUCCUGCUAUUGCUAAUCUCUUAACCAACAUUUUUACUUAAACAAAUUUCAUAACAAUUCAUGCUUUUUUUACACAAAUUCACUAACAAUUUUCAUCAAAAGCUUCCAACUAAUUCCAAAUGCUAACAUAAAUUUACUACUUCUAACCAGCCAAUGAUAACUUCAUAACAAAAAUUACACUAACCAAUAAGCAACUAACAUUCACCAAAGUCCAUAACAAUUCAACAAACUUUCUAUCUCCUAAUCACUAAUCAAUUCCAUUUCACUAACGGUUAUGACAUUCUAACUAAUACUAACAACCAAAACAACUUCAUACUAGUCCUUCCUUAACAACUAACCUCCUCAUAGCUAACAUCUUUUCCAAAAUCUUAUAACCUUUGUAACACAACUCAAUCCAAACUAACUAUUUUUUAACAAUAACUAGGUCACUAACAGUCUAACAUAUAACCAAGUUAACUAACAUCUAACAGUCAAAAUUCAACUCACUAGCAUCACAGCCUAACUAACAAACUGAUUCAAACUAACUAAACUAACAACAAGUUAACAAAGUUAAGCUCUCUAACCAAUUUACUCAUGAAUCCACUUAACACUAACAAUUCCUAACAGAAUUUUAACUCUGUUAACUAACAUCUAAUAAACUCCCUCUUCAAUCCAACUGAAACUUAACACUGCCCUAACUUUGUUAACAAAACUGACUGAAAUCCUGUAUGAAUCAGUUAGGAGCACCCUUUGUAAAUCCUCUCAUUCACCUUCAUUCAUAACCAAUCACAUUUCCACAAAUCACUCUUCAAUCUCCACAACAAUCAUAUUCCAUAUCACUCUCGAUCUCCCUGAAUCACUCUGAUAAUUCACACUCUUUCUUUCUACUCAAUCACUCUCCUCACACGUGUAUGCAACAACAACAACACAAGGCAACCAUAAUUCAAACCUACAGACUAACGCUUGAAGGAGAAGAAGAAGAAGUUGCGCAGGAAAAAUGAGGAGUUUCAAGCAUACCUGAAUCGCUUCCUCUAGUCUUCUUUGGUAUUUAUCAUCAUCUUCUUCAAUUUGUGCAAGCGUCAGGGCUAACCUCUACCUUGUAUGUAAGUUUCCUCAUUCUUCCUUGGUUUGCACUGAGCUUAUUACCACCAUGUAAUUACAAAUACAAGGAAUCAAAACCCUAAUGUCUCAGGAUCUGAUUCCUCUUUAACAUCAUUUAAUUUUGCUUUGUGCUUCUUAGGAUUUUAGGAAAGAUCAUUGUUAGAUUGAGGGAGAUGAGGACAAGAGGGUUGGGAAGGUUUGAUAAUGGGUAUUUUGGCUUAACUCCACUGACUCAGGCGUGACGGAGCUAACUCCGGCAGGGGAGAUUCUUGAGAUAGGGAGGAGUAGCAUAAUAAACUGAUUUGAAUCGAGACUUUGCUAAAACACCUUUAUCCCCCUUUGCCUUGUUU